AGUGAACGCUGGCGGUAGGCCUAACACAUGCAAGUCGAACGGCAGCACAGUAAGAGCUUGCUCUUACGGGUGGCGAGUGGCGGACGGGUGAGGAAUACAUCGGAAUCUACUUUUUCGUGGGGGAUAACGUAGGGAAAAUUACGCUAAUACCGCAUACGACCUACGGGUGAAAGCAGGGGAUCUUCGGAACUUGCGCGAUUGAAUGAGCCGAUGUCGGAUUAGCUAGUUGGCGGGGUAAAGGCCCACCAAGGCGACGAUCCGUAGCUGGUCUGAGAGGAUGAUCAGCCACACUGGAACUGAGACACGGUCCAGACUCCUACGGGAGGCAGCAGUGGGGAAUAUUGGACAAUGGGCGCAAGCCUGAUCCAGCCAUACCGCGUGGGUGAAGAAGGCCUUCGGGUUGUAAAGCCCUUUUGUUGGGAAAGAAAAGCAGCAGGUUAAUACCCCGCUGUUCUGACGGUACCCAAAGAAUAAGCACCGGCUAACUUCGUG
Molecule: ribosomal RNA, 492 nt
Filed under: uncultured bacterium
Lineage: Bacteria
Description: partial 16S ribosomal RNA
Rfam family: Bacterial small subunit ribosomal RNA
Source: RNAcentral